RNAcentral lists this ribosomal RNA (253 nucleotides) under uncultured bacterium. RNAcentral describes it as "partial 16S ribosomal RNA". It matches the Rfam family "Bacterial small subunit ribosomal RNA", at positions 524 to 776 of the family's 1533-position model. The record is from RNAcentral.
UACGUAGGGGGCAAGCGUUGUCCGGAUUCAUUGGGCGUAAAGAGCGUGUAGGCGGCCAGGUAGGUCGGUUGUGAAAACUGGAGGCUCAACCUUCAGAGGUCGACCGAAACCAUCUGGCUAGAGUCCGGGAGAGGAGAGUGGAAUUCCUGGUGUAGCGGUGAAAUGCGCAGAUAUCAGGAAGAACACCCGUGGCGAAGGCGGCUCACUGGUCCGAUACUGACGCUGAGGUGCGAAAGCGUGGGGAGCAAACAGG